Thrips palmi is the source of this 642-nucleotide long non-coding RNA. RefSeq lists it as uncharacterized. Lineage: Eukaryota; Metazoa; Arthropoda; Insecta; Thysanoptera; Thripidae. The transcript is spliced from 3 exons. The record is from RefSeq and is a predicted model, not a curated record.
AAGUGUUUAUUUUGUUCGUCAUCUGAUUUUAUGCUUGAGAAAUAGGCUCUUUGCGGAAACCUUGACCCACUGGAGUUGCCCAAGAUUCUGGAACGAUAACCUGCACCACUAUGCAAUUACAUGUGGAACAAGAACUGACUCCUGUGCUUCAGAGUCAAAUUAAGUGAAUUUCCUGCGACAGAGCAAAUCCAACUGAGAUUCCUCUUUUAAAUAUUUUGUUUUUGAGUCCUGUCCACCAUUUUUGUCUCCAUAUUUUCUGUUGUUCGUGACAAGUCCUAUCGUUUGAUUUUUAAUUUAAAAAGUGGCGCACCCUAGCGGCAGGCCAUCGAACUACGACACAGGUGCGCGCUCUAGCGGUCACCUUCGGAACUACAUGGCCGCAGGGCGCUGCGACGGGUGGUGGGGGACCUCCGAAAGACCUCUCACAGACCUACCGUUUCCGACGUCCCGAAGUGCUCCCGAAAGAGACGUCCUGAAAUGUAGCACGGCAGUACUUCUUUCGGAUGCCUUUUUUGUUUCAUAAGGUACUCCUUCCGCACUACAUUUUGGGAUGUACAGAGCUCCGAAAUGGUAGUACGACAGUACUACUUUUGAUAGUAGUUUUGUUUACGGGGUUUCCUCCAUUUUUUGGUCAAAGGUAGU